Molecule: ribosomal RNA, 253 nt
Filed under: uncultured bacterium
Lineage: Bacteria
Description: partial 16S ribosomal RNA
Rfam family: Bacterial small subunit ribosomal RNA
Source: RNAcentral
UACGGAGGGGGCUAGCGUUGUUCGGAAUUACUGGGCGUAAAGCGCACGUAGGCGGAUCAGUCAGUUAGAGGUGAAAGCCCAGGGCUCAACCCUGGAACUGCCUUUAAUACUGCUGGUCUGGAGUCCGAGAGAGGUGAGUGGAAUUCCGAGUGUAGAGGUGAAAUUUGUAGAUAUUCGGAGGAACACCAGUGGCGAAGGCGGCUCACUGGCUCGGUACUGACGCUGAAGUGCGAAAGCGUGGGGAGCAAACAGG